GUAAGGAAUAUUGCUCAAUGGGGGAAAUCCUGAAGCAGCAACGCCGCGUGGAGGAUGAAGGGUCUAUGACUUGUAAACUCCUGUAAAGAAGGAAAAAAUUCCCAUUUGAUGGGAGAUGAUGGUACUUCUGGAGUAAGCCCCGGCUAACUACGUGCCAGCAGCCGCGGUAAUACGUAGGGGGCAAGCGUUGUCCGGAUUUACUGGGUGUAAAGGGUGCUCAGGCGGAUUUGUAAGUCAGAGGUGAAAUCUUACAGCUUAACUGUGAAACUGCCUUUGAUACUGCAAGCCUAGAGUAUGGAAGAGAGUGAUGGAAUAUCUGGUGUAGCAGUGAAAUGCGUAGAUAUCAGAUAGAACACCAAUGGCGAAGGCAGUCACUUGGUCCAUUACUGACGCUAAAGCACGAAAGCGUGGGUAGCAAACA
Molecule: ribosomal RNA, 421 nt
Filed under: uncultured bacterium
Lineage: Bacteria
Description: bacterial SSU rRNA
Rfam family: Bacterial small subunit ribosomal RNA
Source: RNAcentral